GUUAGGGUUUUUAUUUUUUUAAAGUUAGGGUUUAGGGUCUUUUGAAAGUGUUCAGGGUUUUCGACUGAAAUGACGAAAGUUCUUAGGUAGUUUUGAGGGGGCGGGGAUGUGAGCACACAUACAUUUCAUAUGUCAUGGUAGGAUAGGACUAUCACCUUAGAAACACAUCGUGGGGAAAUCCGAUUCUGGGUUAAUACUGUUUGAUACGAUCAGGGGUUGAACUCUAG
RNAcentral lists this long non-coding RNA (227 nucleotides) under Gossypium raimondii (Peruvian cotton). Its description in RNAcentral is "long non-coding RNA (GRAI_LNC004664)". The record is from RNAcentral. Lineage: Eukaryota; Viridiplantae; Streptophyta; Magnoliopsida; Malvales; Malvaceae.